GGGGGAGCUAACCAUGUGAUCACAUUCAAAUGGGGGGGUGGGUUAAUGGCAUGAUAGGGGGAGCUAACCUUGUGAUCACAUUCAAAUGGGGGGGUGGGUUAUUGGCAUGAUAGGGGGAGCUAACCUUGUGAUCACAUUCAAAUGGGGGGGUGGGUUAUUGGCAUGAUAGGGGGAGCUAACCUUGUGAUCACAUUCAAAUGGGGGGGUGGGUUAUUGGCAUGAUAGGAGGAGCUAACCUUGUGAUCACAUUCAAAUGGGGGGUUACUGGCAUGAUAGGGGGAGCUAACCAUGUGAUCACAUUCAAAUGGGGGGUUAUUGGCAUGAUAGGAGGAGCUAACCAUAUGAUCC
This is a non-coding RNA of Pelobates cultripes (western spadefoot toad), 348 nucleotides long. The record is from the annotation of a GenBank genome assembly. NCBI's taxonomy places the organism in Eukaryota, Metazoa, Chordata, Amphibia, Anura, Pelobatidae.